AUUGAACGCUGGCGGCAGGCCUAACACAUGCAAGUCGAGCGGAUGAAGGGAGCUUGCUCCUGGAUUUAGCGGCGGACGGGUGAGUAACGCCUAGGAAUCUGCCUGGUAGUGGGGGAUAACGUCCGGAAACGGGCGCUAAUACCGCAUACGUCCUGAGGGAGAAAGUGGGGGAUCUUCGGACCUCACGCUAUCAGAUGAGCCUAGGUCGGAUUAGCUAGUUGGUGGGGUAAAGGCCUACCAAGGCGACGAUCCGUAACUGGUCUGAGAGGAUGAUCAGUCACACUGGAACUGAGACACGGUCCAGACUCCUACGGGAGGCAGCAGUGGGGAAUAUUGGACAAUGGGCGAAAGCCUGAUCCAGCCAUGCCGCGUGUGUGAAGAAGGUCUUCGGAUUGUAAAGCACUUUAAGUUGGGAGGAAGGGCAGUAAGUUAAUACCUUGCUGUUUUGACGUUACCAACAGAAUAAGCACCGGCUAACUUCGUG
This 484-nucleotide ribosomal RNA is filed under the name uncultured bacterium. RNAcentral describes it as "partial 16S ribosomal RNA". It matches the Rfam family "Bacterial small subunit ribosomal RNA", at positions 30 to 507 of the family's 1533-position model. The record is from RNAcentral.